Long non-coding RNA from Felis catus (domestic cat), 8458 nucleotides. RefSeq lists it as uncharacterized. The record is from RefSeq and is a predicted model, not a curated record. NCBI's taxonomy places the organism in Eukaryota, Metazoa, Chordata, Mammalia, Carnivora, Felidae. The transcript has 4 exons.
GCUCUGGGGAAGGGGCGGUGGGCGUGGCCAACGGCUUGAGCCCGGCCGUUGGCGGUUAAUUUCGGGCCGCCCCUGGUUCAGUUUCUCCGCGACCGCUCUGAGUUGACUUCUUAGAUGACAACCCGGCUUAUACGCACUCUCCCUAUCCAGGGAAGAUCAGAACUGCCUUAAGGAUGCAGGAAAAACCCCGAGACCCAGGAUGUGGGGAACUGGGCGCCCCCUCCCUUACCUCAGGAUUCCAUUCUCCCUUCCGGAGGACUCGCCGCCUGCAGGCCAUGAAAGAGCGCAGGACUCCGAGGACCCGGACUAGCCUAGCGGAGCCGCCCUGCCCCGCCCGGCCCCGUGCCCCGUGUUCCCCGGCGCCGGGGACUGGUCACUGCCCACGAUCAUCAGUCAAGCAUAACCAAGAGUGUGGAGGCUAUUUGUGCACGCGGUCAUCUAGCCACUAGAAAGUCACCUUCCAGGAGUCCCAUCCCAGCAGGACCUUCCCAGGCUCCUGCCUUCCCAGCCUUCACCCCAGUGUUAGCUAUCUGGAAAAGGGUCUGCGAGCAGGACCUGGGGCUCUUUUCUUGGUCCAUGCAUUGCCCACACCCGUUUCCCCCUCAAGGUACUGAGUACUCUCCCUUCACUGAGGAGAUCUGAGCUUGGUCCAGGCAGCAGGAGAAGACACAGCCCUCGGGGGUUAAGGUUCCUUCAAAGUCAAGGCUCACAGGAUUCCUCAGGAGAGAGGGCUGGGCGUGAGCAGGAACCCCGCUGUAGGUGUUUGUAGCAGUGAAAAGGAUGGGUCCCUUGCCCUCCUCAGAGCUCAGCUCAGACCCAAAGGCUCUUCCACUUACCAUCAACAUGGAAACUUGGCUCUUCACAUGAGUAUAUUCUCCCUCUUUUGUGCAGUAUCUUGUUCCUCAAACCGCCCUUCUGUGAAGGCCUGUGGGGUCAAGGGGCCUGGCCAGUCACGCAGAGGUGACUGAGCCCCACAGACCUCAGGUCAGGUAGACAGAUUUAAUAAAGGCUUCACGACCUUGACUGUCAGGACUCGUGAUUGGUGUGCGGGUUCAGGAGAUUUGGAUGGUCCUUUUUUUCCUUUCCAUCCAAACGGGUGCAUGGUACUUGUGCCACAGACACGUGGGCAAUGAGGGGAGGCUGGGGGUGGGUGGGAUUUUGAGGGAUAUCCCUGGCUCUUCCCCCUUCCCUCUGAAGAAUGCUCCUCAGUAUGUCAGGGAGGGGCCUGACACCAGUCGAUUUGCUAGACACCUGGCAGGGUUUUCUUUGAGCUUCUACAUGGUAAUAGGGCAAGAACCAAAGGGACAAAUGUAUCUGCCAGAAUGUCAGGCCAUUAGGAAGGAUGUGGAAGGGGCUAAAUAGGGAUUCAUAUUGAGGUCCUGGGAUUUCAUUACUGUUUUGAAACUUCAUUCUCCUAGUCCUUGAUUAAGGGUAAUGGGAGAAUUAAUAAAUUACUGGUGGGAGGGGGUUGUUGUCUUCAGAGUGGGGACCCAAGAGUACAGGCAUCCUGUCAGUGGCCUGGGUUGUGUACCUGGCAGGUGGUGGGCAGCUUUGCUGGAUCUCACAGUUGGUAGUGAAAGUCGUUGCAGAAAAAACAUUCACUUGCUGGGGCUUCGGAUGUCACCCAGUGCCCUGCCCCCUCUUCCUGUCUUGUUUUCCCACACACCACAGAGACAAGAGCUGAUCUGGCAAGGGGACAAUCCCUAAGACUCCCCACACUGGGGCCCUUUCUCUGUGCUUUUCUACUCCAGUGAUGACCACAGAAUAUUCUGGGAGUUGUCUUCAGUAAAGACUCGGGGGUCUCCUAAGGAGCGGGAAUGGUGGAGUCUGUACAAAGCUAGAGCCAUAAUCAUUAAGCACUGAGUUCGUCGGAGCACAGGGAAUGAGUUCAUGUGUUCUUGUCCUUGGAGGACUUACAAAUUAAAAGUAUGGAAUCAUUUGUAAUCAGAAUAACCACCUGGCAGGGAUAUUGAUGAACAGAGGAGGGCUUACUUGGAGACCUCUGAUCUUUCCAGCCCCAAGACUCUGGGCCUAAUACCCACAUAAUCAUUAGUGUUCUGUAAUUUAUAACAGUGUUAUCAUUGAUCCAUGUCGUUAAUCAUCAUGAAUUGGUGAUUUCUCAAAUGCUCUGGGUUAUUUGUGUAUCAACAUAGAGCUCUGUGAUUUACAAACACAGAAAUCCUUGGAGGUAGAGAGACGCCAUGGCCAUUUUACAGAUGAGAAUACUGAAAAAGACUCCACUCCCUUGAAGGAGAGGGUAUGCAGUGCACUUGCCCCAUUGGGCCUGCUGGCUUACUCCUCUCUCCAGCCCCCACAUUGGAGAAAGCAAGAACAAAAAAGCCAAUAGGCCUCAGUUUGUCAGGAUGUUUAAGGACUUUGAGGACAGCCUUCUACUUUUCAUCACACAGGCACUGGGACAGACACAGAGAAGGCAUUACAUAUCUGUCCAAUAGAUUUGUCCAUGUCUUCCAUUUUUUAAUGUUACAUGUCCUCUUUUAACCCUUGUGGCUCGCAUCAUCCUUCCAGAUGAUUCACUGAGAUUCUAAUGUCCUUUGCUGUUGUUAGGUAACUUUGGGGCACCUCCAGUGACUGACUGAUUACCCAGCUCUUCCCCUAACUAGUUCUAUGACCUGCAGCAUGUUGUUUAUCCUCUCUGCGUCUCAGUUUUCUAGGUGGUAAAAUGGGUGAUCCAACCUGUGUGUCAUGGGUGAGGAUUAUAAGAAAUAGCACAUGGAUGCUUAUUCCUCUGUUUGGCAAGUAAGAUGAGUUCCCUCUUCCCUGCUUGCGCAGUCCUUUGUGUUCUGCGAAGAACUUUGCUAUCUAUGGUGCCUCACAACCAAGAAGGGAGAGUCCUGAGUCUGCCCUUCCCUAGCUACUUCAAGGCCAACUCAGAUUCUGUAAAACUUUCUGAAACACUUCUGUUCUUCUGUGCAACAGCUCUCCCCUCAAUAAAUUUACCCUGGAAUAAUCUGGAAGGCCAGGGGCUCAUCACCCUCAGCCAUUCUCCAGUCAUUUGGUGUCCAUCCCUUCAUGAAGACCCAGAAGAGACAAGUGGAUUUGAUGGUGGGGCUAUGCCUUAGAGCCUCUAGUGUUCAUGGAGAAGCCAACCCUUUCCUCCUUCACUAAGCUUUGAUGUCCCAAUGGGCCUCUGUUCCUAUAUUGGGUCAGGAGUCUUUGCCUUCCCACAGGGAACAAAAAGAGCAUCAAAACAUAUACAGCACAAACGCUCGAAUCCCGAAAAGGACCUCAGAUUCAGGGGGCCCCCUGCUUGCCUCCUGGCUUCACUAGGGAGUGGGCCUACAGGGACACUCCAGGUGGAGGCCCAUCCCAGGCCUCUGCUCUGUGCCCUCUUCUAGAUGUGGAUGGGAGAUGAGCUGGACCUAUACAGCUUUGUCCUCCCAAGUUUUCCUCUGAUUCUGCCCCUCACCUCUUCCUUACUCGUGCUUGCCUGAUCCCUCUCACCUCCCCCCUUCCUUUGCUUAGCCAAUAGCGGACCGUGGUCUCUGACCCUAUCCCACCCAGGGUGGGACUGGAGGGCUGAGAGAUCUUCAUGCUCAUGGAACAUUCCUAGAAGAGCCACCCUUCCCAGACUCAUACUGCAACUCUCAAGAGCCCUAUAUCCUUCUGUAUCUCUCCCAGACUUGGUUGUUCUCUUGCUGUGUGGAUAUUUUCUUUUCUUCCUCUGGCUGCCUUCUCGGCCUUCACUUCUAUUUUCUGCAGCAGGUGGGCAUCACUGUAAUGGCCGAGUGAGUGUGUGUGUAUGUGAGGGAGGGUAUGGUGUGAUGGGAACACCAGUUCUGGGGUCUGAAGGUUUCAUUUGAGAACCCCUUCCGCUCCAUAAGCUCUAUAAGAACUUGGAAAAAAAAUCCCAAAUAAAUAACUUACAUCUUCAGGUUGGAAAAGCUGUAAACUGGGGAAAGCAGUGAUGUGUAAAUCUGAGUUUUGGGGUAAGGAAUGGGAGGCAUGGGGCGCCUGGGUGGCUCAGUUGGUUAAGCAUCCAGCUCUUAAUUUUGGCUCAUGUCAUGAUCUCAUGGUUCGUGAGUUAGAGCCCUGAGUAGGGCUCCAUGCUGGUAGUUCAGAGUCUGCUUGGGAUUCUGUCUCUGCCUGUCUCUCUCUCUCAAAAUAAAUAAAUCAACUUAAAAAAAAGGAAUGGAAGUCAUGGUAAUCCAUCUGAAAGAAUUUACUUGAAACAGCGGGAUGCUGUACAACCUCUCUAGCCCUGCUGUGGACUAUAUGUAUUCAAAUGUCUCCACUUGGCUUUCUCCCCCACCACUCUGCAGACAAGUCUCGAAGUAGGGAAGAAAGCCCAGUUGACCACCCCUGGAAUCAGAUACUCUUGUCUCAGCCCCCUCCAUCUUGUUUUCUACCCCAAACCAAAGGCGGAGGGGCUCAGGCAAGAGUAUCUUGUUUUCUCAUACCUGGCACAAAUCUCCAUUUUCCAUACCUCAGGGGAGAUGGAGGGCUCUAGAGCUCAAGAGGAAAAGUCCCAGAAAAGUCCCAAGCUCUGCUUCCCUAAUGAUACUGGCCAAAGCUAAACUAACCUAACCCUGUUUGCAGGAUUCCUCAGAAGGCAGAGUCUCAUCAGAACCCUGCAAAAAAAUGUGAGGAUCAAGGAAGAAUUAGACUCCUUUACUUGAUGGCUGUUGGGGCCCUCCCCACAUCCUCCCUCUGCAGUGACCCACAGUCCUCUCCAUUUACCUUCAUCAUGGAAGCCAGGCUCUUUGCGUGGGGGUCACCCUAUCCCCAGCUACGUGUUCUGCUGUACCUCACUUCUCCCUCGAGUAACUGUGAAGUGUCAGCUCUACCCAAGGGGCCUGCCGAGCCAUCCACUGCUGGAUGAGGUGGAGUAUUUCUCUAAAAUUCCUUCCAGUGGAGAGGAAGAAUGUUUGUGCUGGAGGGGACCAUGUUUGUGCUGGAGGGGACCUGGAUGUUAAGGAGAGGUGGAAAGGGCUGGUCAGCGGGCUGCUUCAGGUCCUCCUACCAUCCCAUUGGGAAGAACUCACCCCUAACUCAAGUACUGUCCCUAGGUGAUUUACCUGGCAUCUGGCAGAGUCUUCCCAUGAGCAUUUACAUCCUAUAAGGGAAAAUGUCUGUUAACCCAGAGAAAUGGAGAAGGCGGCUGGGAGGACUUGGUGGUAGCCUUUAUGUCAUUCCAGAGUCCCAUUGUUAGAUUUUGGCUUUUAUGCCAGACUUGGAACAAGGAUAAAGGGUGAGCAGGGAUUGGGGAAGUGAUAAGUGAGGGAGCCCAGGGGUGAGGUCAGAGAUUUUUCAGGUCCUCCUUGCUGCUGUUGGGACUGAGGAUCUUGGAACAUGAAGGAGCAUUAGGGGCUGCAGAGGCUCCCAUGUGUUUCCUGCCCCUUUCUUGCCUCCUGCCUUUUCUCAGUGUCAUGGAGACCAGGGCUGAUUUGUCAAGGGGACAGCAUCUCCCCCUCGGAGAUUUUCCCAGCUAAGGUCCUGGCUCUGUACCCAGUUUCCUACCACUAUUCUGGCCACAGCUGCUUUCUGUCUGGCCUCUGGAUUUCUUAUGAAGGCAGGAAUGAUGGCUCCGCAAGGCCCACCAGGAACACAGAGCCAUAACCAUCGGGCCUUGAUCUGAUUGGAGUACAGGGAGCCACUUCCUGCCGGGGUGAAUUCUGAAAUUCAUCAUGCACAGUCUUGCUUGUAAUAAGAUUAAUAACAGUUUCCAUGGAUAUCGAACAGAAGAUUCUAAUACCCAUCGAGGGAGGCUCAAGUGGAUGGCGUCUGAUGGCUCUGGCAGCCCUGAGAUUCUCUGAGUCUGAGAUCCCUAAUAUCAUCACUAAUUCUCUGUAAUUUAUACUAAUGUUUUCAAUGAUGCAUAUCAUUAAUAAUAAUGGCUAUGAUAAUAGCCAAUCUCAAGUGUGGUCUAUAGAACUACACAGUACUUCUGAGGCGUACUUACCAAAGUCCAUACUUACCAUUGGUACUUUACCAGAAAGGAAACUAGAACCAAGAAAUGGCUCUGAAUCCAGCUUCUCCCACAGAAUGGCCCCUCACCCAUAGGAGCAAUUGUACUUGCCUUGGGUUACUCAGGACCCCCACACCCAGUUCUCUGCAACUGCCUCUCUUUGUUCUCUCCGUCCUGCCUCCCAUCCCUGUUUAAAAGCUCCCGUGAGAGCCACUUGCCUCCUUCCACCCCUGCUUGAUAAGACACAGGAUUUCAGUCCUGACUGGGCACCUGUUUGGCACAGAGCCAGUCACCCCCUGCGCCCCCCCCCUCCCCCCGCCAUGUCAAGUUCCUUUGGAACUUAAAAUCUAGCUAACGCUUCCAGCCAGAAGUGCCGCCUUGGGCAUGUGGUUCUGGCCAAUCCAUCCAUCCAUUCAUCCAUCCAUCACCUCCUGGAUAGUGGGUUCCCCAAAGCUAUACAUUAUCUUAAAAUAAAUGAAAACAGACCCAUCUUGUAAAAUCAGAGAUCCAGAAACUAGCUCAUGUCCCUGCCCCUCAGGGAAACAUAGAAGGCCCUCAAGGGCAUGCACAGUGUCCUUUACUUUUAUUUCGCUUUCUUUUAAAACCAGGCACAGUGUGGGGCACACAGCAGGUCAGCGAAUGCAUGUUGAACGCAUGCAGCACUGAUUUCUCCACCUCUCUCACUUUUUCUGCUGGGUUCAGUCUUCUUGAAUUCAAGGUUCACAUGCCAGGGUUCGGGCCUUUGAGAUGAAACCCAACAAACUGUGUUUCUAUUCACCUCUGCAGCUCUGCAGGUAACUUCGGUACAAAUCCAUUUAUUGAAUGUUUAUCCAGCUCUGCCACUCACUUAACUAUGUGAUGUUGGGCAAGAUAUUUAACCCCUCUCUACCUUAGCUUCUCCAACAGAAAUGUUAAUAAUAAUAAUACCUACUUCACUGUGUUGUUUUGAUGAUAAAUUGAGAUUAUAUUAAAAAAAAAAACUCUUAGAACAGUGCAUGGCACAUAGGAAAAUCUCAAUAAUGUCGGCUAUUAUUAGCAAUUUAAUUUUGCAGUUCAAUAUCCACUUGGAAAAUGCUAACCUUGUGUCAACUUAAUGAAGGGAUAAAACUUUCCCGCAAUUAGUCUGGGUAGGUAAGGCAACGGGCCCAUCCUCGGUAGACGGGCAGAAUUGUAAUCCUCCAGAGAUCCCCAAAGGAAUGGGUGGAAAGUAUGUAACAGGGAUUACUGGGUGUAACUGAGAUCUCAACUCCUUCUUCAUAAUAUUCCUUCUCAGACAGUGAAUGAGACACCUGCUUUGUAUCAGGACGUACCCAGUCGGUGAUGGAGGUGUGAUGCUCUGAGGUUUUUCUUCCCAACAUGGGAACAGCAUCAGGAAGUUCAGCUAGCAGAGCCCCACAGAGACUCCAGAUGCGGGCCCAGAAUCCUGGCUCUCGCUCACAUUCGACUGCUGGCUGAAGGAACCAGAGGCUCAAUGAUCCCAACAAGAACAAGAAAAUAGCCAGGCAGGAGCCUGAAAUCUGCACCCAUUUGCCUAGAGUUGGUGAGCUGAAGAAAGAUGCCAAGUGUCCAAAAUGAGGCCACGGGGCAAGAUGGCUGUGCCCGUCAGAAGAUGCUAAAUGGCCAUGAUGGGCAUCACAGGGUAGCUUGAGAUGUAAAGGCGGGCUCCCCUCUACGGUCCCUUGGGAAACAUAGCAAUUCCCUCUGCCAGAGGCUGCAAGGAAGGGAAACCCUGAGUCUUGUAGUAAAACACUGACCAGCUGUGAGGUGGGAAAACUUAAAUAGAUCACAGAAGAUCAGAUCACUAAGAUCUUGGGUUUAAGGCAAAAACAGGUAUUUUUAAACUGUGAAGGGAGCUGUGUUCCUUUUAGGUGUUGGGAGAGCAACAUGGAUGGGUCUGAUUCUAUUACGCGAAGGUAGCAACCUCGGGUAUUUACCCGUGAGAAGCCUUGUCACAACAAACUUCCUGCUGCCAACCGCAUCGCAGGGAGCGGCUGGGUUUGAGGAUCGAGGUGUGCUAUUUAAAACCAUGCGUUGGGUUUUCGCCCGCUGUCUGCCAAGUCUUGUCUUUUGAAGAAGGGUGUCGAUUUUACCAGCAGCAAUUUGUAGCUAUCACAAUGGCGGCGAGAACAGAGGAAGCCCCGCCUGGCUCAGACCCUUACUGCAGACAGACAGACAACAGAGAAUAGAAGACACAGAAGAACUCAGGCCCUGCUUAGGAAAAUUCAGUACCUACAGACUGUGGGAGAGAAGUUAUUACUGGUGUUGGAAGGGGAAAAUCUGAGACAAUGACCUUCCUUUUACCUGGCUGGAAAUUAUAUCCCUUUAAAAAAAAAAAAAGUGUGUGUCAUUUCUCUUGGAAUUUCAACAGUGUUAUGAUGGCAAAAUGAAAGCAUCUCCUUUGAGGGGAAACUGAAGAAUGCAUCAUUAUCAAGAAUUUGGGGAGGGGUGCCUGGGUGGCUCAGUCAGUUAAGUGUCAGACUCUUGAUUUCUGCUCAGGUCAUGAUCUCCCGGUUGGUGAGAUCUAGCUCCACA